This 497-nucleotide ribosomal RNA is filed under the name uncultured bacterium. Its description in RNAcentral is "partial 16S ribosomal RNA". It matches the Rfam family "Bacterial small subunit ribosomal RNA", at positions 28 to 507 of the family's 1533-position model. The record is from RNAcentral.
GAUGAACGCUGGCGGCGUGCCUAAUACAUGCAAGUCGAGCGAACGGACGAGAAGCUUGCUUCUCUGAUGUUAGCGGCGGACGGGUGAGUAACACGUGGAUAACCUACCUAUAAGACUGGGAUAACUUCGGGAAACCGUAGCUAAUACCGGAUAAUAUUUUGAACCGCAUGGUUCAAAAGUGAAAGACGGUCUUUCUGUCACUUAUAGAUGGAUCCGCGCUGCAUUAGCUAGUUGGUAAGGUAACGGCUUACCAAGGCAACGAUGCAUAGCCGACCUGAGAGGGUGAUCGGCCACACUGGAACUGAGACACGGUCCAGACUCCUAAGGGAGGCAGCAGUAGGGAAUCUUCCGCAAUGGGCGAAAGCCUGACGGAGCAACGCCGCGUGAGUGAUGAAGGUCUUCGGAUCGUAAAGCUCUGUUAUUAGGGAAGAACAUAUGUGUAAGUAACUGUGCACAUCUUGACGGUACCUAAUCAGAAAGCCACGGCUAACUACGUG